AUAAUUUUCCUUUAGGAAUACUAUUGGUUUAGGUUGAGUCCAGUUUUGUGGUGGUAUAUAUCACUUUUCUAUAGCUGCUUUAAAAUUUUUCCUAAACUUGGAAGAGCAAGAACAACAACAACAACAACAACAACAACAAAUCACUCUUUCCUGUCUGGAAGCCACAUAUUAAGUUUUUUCUGGAGGCUGUGAGAAUCAAUUCCAGGCAUUCUCUUAACUUUCAGUGGUUUGUGGUAGUCCUUGGUGUUGCUUGGCUCAUAGACCCAUCACUCCAGUUUCUGGUUCUAGGGCCUUGUGGUUUCUUCCUCUCUUCUGUCUCAUAAGGAAACCAUGUUGUGCAUGUGGGGUCUAUUUGAUUAGAUUAAGGAGGAUCUCCAGUUCAAGACCCUUAACUCAUUCCACCUACCAAGAUCCUUUCCCCAAAUAAAGUCUUGUUCUCACAUUAUGGGGGUUUGGGCUUAUAUAACCCGGAGUAUGGAUAUCAUCAGAACCUGAGUAAAUGCAGCCCAAAGGCAGGGCCUUUAAAGCCUUGUAAUUCUGCUAGAGAGACCUGGUCUCUAGGGUGAUGACCAGUAGUCUUCAGAGUUUGAAGGCAGACCCUUGUCAGUGCUUGAUGCUGUUAGUAGGGUCAGUGGGAAUGAUUGGGAAAGGCAGGUUGGCUAUAGUAGGAGAGAGCUGUUGGGCUGCCUGCAGUGGCUGCAUGAGCUUCACGCUUCUUGGAUAAACAGAGAUGCAUAGGUGCAUUUCUGACCAGUACUUUAUCCUGAAAGGGUCCCAGAAAGCAGGUGUGACCCAGGUUACACAGUAGGAAGCUUGAAAACAUGGGCUUCAUGCACUGGUCAAGACAAAUCUGAGGGUGGCACAAGGUAAUGGUUGGGACCUAGUACCCUUCUAGAAGGUGGGAGCCCUUGCCACCGACUUACCCUGCAGUAUGGUGUAUGAUUAACCGUACAUCAAAGAUUUGAGAUUCUACCAUCUUUUUGACAUGAGACAUGCUCUUUUCUUUUGCAGAAUUACUUAAGCUAGAACUGGAAAAAGUGGUCGUUCCAUUCCCCUCAGGAAUUAGUCUACUUGCUUUUGCACAAAUUUUAUGUGGCCUCUGGCAGACAACUUUUAGAUCCAUACAGCUAGAAGCAUGCCCUUUCCAGAAGACCUGUUCUGGAAUAGAUAGUGCUUCUUAUGUAUGCUCUCUUCCUGUUGGCCCAUGCCCAAGAGAAAACCAGAGAGCCAGUAAGACAGUACAGAGUGCUUCACCUACUGAAGUAAUAAACGAUAAGGCAGAUUGUAGGUAGGAAUGAUAUCUAAAAAGGAACAAUUGCAGCCCUGUGUGUGACACCCUCAGGCAAGGUAAGGCCUACCUUUUAGUGUUUCCCCUUUCAAGGUGGGAGUUUGGAGAGAUGAACAAGCACUUUGGAAGCAUCCCCAGCCCUCUUUACCUGACAACAGUUUGGUCCUCACAGUGACUGCUUCAUUGGAGUGCCUCUCCAGUGUUAUGGCACCAUCAUCUGUUACCACCCAAGGCUGUGAUGAAAUAAGAUACAACAUAUCCGAUGACACAGGCCUGCAUGGCUAGCAUCUUGAACAUUUUAUUACAUGAACAUUCUCUGUACGAUGGUAUAAAAAGGCCCGAGGAUUAAAUUAUGUAUAAAAUAUGAAAUAAAGAAGUAAGACUUUC
This 1675-nucleotide long non-coding RNA is filed under the name Mus musculus (house mouse). RNAcentral's name for it is "long non-coding RNA chrX:74449845-74451520". Lineage: Eukaryota; Metazoa; Chordata; Mammalia; Rodentia; Muridae. The record is from RNAcentral.